GUUUUUGUAGUUGAAUACAACGAUGGUUUUUCAGGCCGUAAGUCUCGGUUAGAGUCCGGGCAAGAAUU
RNAcentral lists this transfer RNA (68 nucleotides) under Centrochelys sulcata (African spurred tortoise). RNAcentral's name for it is "transfer RNA-Glu". It matches the Rfam family "tRNA". Rfam says of the family: Transfer RNA (tRNA) molecules are approximately 80 nucleotides in length. Their secondary structure includes four short double-helical elements and three loops (D, anti-codon, and T loops). Lineage: Eukaryota; Metazoa; Chordata; Testudines; Testudinidae. The record is from RNAcentral.